This 84-nucleotide microRNA precursor is filed under the name Podarcis lilfordi (Lilford's wall lizard). Lineage: Eukaryota; Metazoa; Chordata; Lepidosauria; Squamata; Lacertidae. The record is from RNAcentral.
AUAUAUACACACACAUAUACACACAUACACACACACAAAUACACAUGUGUGUGUGUGUGUGUAUGUAUAUGUGUGUGUGUAUAU